GGAUUUUAGAAAAUAUAAUUUUAAAGGACAAAUUAUACCUAUUUUUCUCAAUAACACAUGGCUACAGUGAAAGACUUCCAUUUAUUGACGGAGUCUUGCCCUGUCACUCAGGCUGGAGUGCAGUGGCACAAUCUCUGCUCACUGCCAGCCUCUGCCUCCCGGGUUCCAGUGGUUCUUCUGCCUCAGCCUCCUGGACAGCUGGGAUUAAAGGUACCCGCCACCAAACCUCAGCCUCCUGGACAGCUGGGAUUACAGAUCACUUUUUGGCCUUUGGCUGAGAUCAAGAGCACUACCUGAAGAUGAAAGAUGAAAGGAGCUGAUUUGCAGAUUCUCUCCCUAUACAUUUUUGUUGUAUUGAAUUUCAGUUUCAUUUUAUUCUCUUAUCUUUCAUGGAAUGUUACAAUUACCUAAAUUAUAGACUAAUAUAGAAGCUUUUGAGCAAAAGGGUGUAUGUGCUGUGAAGGUCAACAUUUUAAACGAUCCUAAAACAUAAUUGUUUUAGAACGGGCACUUGUCUGGGUCCCACUGAAUGACUCAUUUCACGGCAUCACAUUCAAAAUGGAUUCUAUCAAAGGAAAACCAACUCAUUCUCAAGAUGAAAUUCAUCCUUUGCAUAUUAUGUAUCAAUGAUAUCACUCUUCCAGUGCCAGUUGUGGAAAAAUAGGUUUCAACAUAGAGUGGCUUGUA
Molecule: long non-coding RNA, 687 nt
Filed under: Homo sapiens (human)
Lineage: Eukaryota; Metazoa; Chordata; Mammalia; Primates; Hominidae
Description: non-protein coding LINC01047:3
Source: RNAcentral